UGGAUGGGCAAUUGCAAAAGGCGCUUUCAACUUUAAAAUGCAAUAAUUUUAUUAUUUCAAUUUGGAGGCUGAGGUACCAGUUUCUAACUAAAAAGUAACAUUGGAUAAUAUAACAAUUGUUUUCAAUGUUAACUAAAAGAGUUCCCCCAAACCAGAGCUAGAAUUGGAAGAAGGAACACCCACAUGGCAUGUGUGGGUGGCUGGAGUGAGGAAGGAGAGGCUGGAAGAUACCCACUGCCAGUGGGCGGGAGAAACAUCACUGCUGCCCGAGGGUUCCAGCCUUCUGCCUGCCCAGGCACUAGGGAUUCUGGGCUAACUGUCCUCUGGGGGAGUGUGGGGAGCUUUUCAGAGGAGUUCUAGGGAAGAGAUGCCUGCCCAGCGGUGGGAGAGAAAACUAACGUUUUAAGUAUCAAGGAUGAUGGGUCUCCUUCACCCUAGAAGAGAGCUACAAGGAAACGGCAUGAGUUAUUCUGUAGUUACUUUGGCUUCCUGGCCUUUGACCAGGAGCUGACUCUAAGGCUGAACCACAUGAACCGUCUCAUCAUAAGUUAAAAUUUCUAAUUAUAACUUCGUAGUCUGAAGAUAAGGGACACUGGUAUGGCUGUCUUAGCCACCGUUACCUUCCAAAAAGAGAAAAUGCCAGCCUACUCAGAGUGGGCCGCUGCCGCGAGGGCUGAUCACACUUUUUCUCCACUUUCUAAUCUGUCAGGUUCUAUAGUUUUUAUCUACAGUGAUCACACUCGCCUCAUCUGGGAAGGACACCCACGUGCUCCCACACUGCCACAAUCUUGGCUCACUGAAACCUCCGCCUUCUGGACUCAAGUGAUCCUCCUGCCUCAGCCCCCUGAGUAGCUGGGACUACAGGUGUGCACCAACAUGCUCAGCUAAUUUUUGUAUUUUUAGUAGAGUCAGGGUUUCACUAUGUUGGCCAGGCUGGUCUUGAACUCCUGCCCAUCUUCAUCCCAUACCAGGGCUUUGUCCUGCUGCAGUGCAAAGGACAAUUCUCUCCUGGCUUCUCCCCUACCUGGGCAGGGGCAGAGUCUCAUCUCCUUACUGGACAGAGGGCUUGGUGCAGAUCCCAAAGCCAUUAACAGAGGUAUCUGCAGGCCAGGAAAAUAAAGUAAACAAGAGACAUGAGCCAGGGGGACAGCAAUGAACACCGAGGCCCCAUCUUGCCCAAGGGGACAAGAUGGUUACUGCUAAUGGGGGGGGGGCCCAAUGGUGCCAGAACUUCUAACUCUUACUUUCAAGAAGUCAGAAAUCUUAAUCUUCCUAAUCUUUAAAUGUGACAAGUAACUGUAAUUUUUUUCUCAAUCCCAUAUGGCCAAAGUCAAGACCUAGCAGCCUGCAGAGUAUGGAUGGGGCAUUUGAUAAAGUUGGGGGAUGGAUGCCCCGCACUUCUUCCUAUUUCUGAUCCUGCCACUGUCCAGGCGCAGUGUGAGCAUCAGUCAUACAUGGAGGAGGAUGUCAUUCUGUUCAUCCCACAUCAUCACAAGGUACAUCAAAAGCUUCAAGGACACAUCUGCAGGUAUUUGAUACUGGCCUCUAUUUCCUAAUUCCUCUUUUUUCUAUAUUGGCACUGAGAUGAACAAAAAGUUUAGAAUCACAUGAUUGCAUUUUGAAUCUUUUGGAAAUAUUUUUUUUUAUUCCAGACUCUAUUACCAAUAACAGGCUUUUAUAAAAUCAAAAUAUAGAAACUACUGCUGAAAAGGUAUUUUGGGUGGCAUGAGAGUCCAAACGUCUUUUGAAAUAAGUGUUUUGUUUUUCUUUCAGAAAAUAACUCCAUAUAAAUAAAUAAACCAUUAUUCCAAGAACUAAAAAAAAAAAAAAAAAAAAAGGAAAAGAAAGGAAUGAAAACAGAGAAAAAACAUAAUCCACAAAACCACACAUUUCUUAACACUCCUGGGAUAAAGUAAAUUUUGUUUUUGCUAUGACUAUGUUUUGUUUAGCAAAAACAUUCCACAGCUCCAUUUAUUCCCUGGAAACGAAGCCCUUCAGACAUUUGCAAAGGGCCAAAGUGAGGUCUUUGCUAUUUCAAACUUGAUUAUUGGGAAAGUAUCAGCCUCCAACACAAGAAAGAAACCACCGCAUACAGCAACUGCCCAUUUCACUCAGCUCUGUAAAGCAGGAAACAGCAGGCUGAACUGCAACAGCUUCUAUUAUUUUGCCCAGAAAUCAUUUGUGACUUUAACCUAAUUAUUCAAAGUCUGACUUUGGUCUUCUAAUUACAUCCGCUAAUGGAUCUGUCAAUACGAAGGAGUGCAACAUGAGACAGACACCAAUUCCCUCGGGAAAUUUCCCUCACAGGUGAAGCUGAUAAUGUUACACUGCUCAACCAAAUCUCUCUUUUUUAAAAAGUUCCUUCAAGACUGCUAGUGCCAUAACAUCAAUCUGCCUGGGCUUUGCAGUAGAUCCAAUUUAGCAAAACACUAAAAUCAAUCACUUUUUGAUGCAGGACUUUUUAUUGUAUAGGUAGGAAAUAGGAGUCCAAUUUUUAAAAUAAUGUUUGCAGAAGACAAAGCCCAUGUCUUCUGUAUGUGCCAUUUCUAAAUCUGUGGAAUAAGUUAAAAUGUUUGUUCUAAGGGCUUUAAAAAUUUAGACUUCUGUCAUCUUCUCAUUAAACAAACUCAUGUAUCUGAAACUUAAAAAACAAAACAAAACAAAACAAAACAAAACACAUAUCCAGGCUCAGGAGACCACACCAUUAAAACACUAUUUUUAAAAUUUGAAGUGAAAUUUCCAUAACAUAAAAUUAAUCAUUUUAAAGUGAACUAUUUGGUGGCGUUUAGUAUCUUCAUGAUGUUGCACAACCAUCAGCUCUAUCUAUAGGUUAUGAAACAUUUUCAUCACCCCCAAAGGAAACUCCAUGUCCAUUAAGCAGUUACUCUUCCCAUUCCCCUCUCUCCCCGAGCCCUAGCAAUCAAUAACAUGCUUUCACAAAAAAAAACUAUUCUUUUUUUAAAUUUUAAUGGAUUUUUGUUGUGUAUAUUCAAGGUGUACAACAUGAUGCCUCAAUGUAUAUAUACUUAGUUCAAAUGAUUACUACAGUCAAGAAAACCAACAUAACCAUCAUCUCACAUAGUUAGUUUUCUUUUUUGUGCGUGGUAAGAGUACCUAAAAUCUAUUCCCUGAGCAGAUCUCCAGUACGCGAUGUUAUUAGCUAUAGUCCCCAUGUUGUACAUUAGAUCUCUAGAUUUACUUAUCAUACAUAACUGCAACUUUGUACCUUUGACCUACAACUCCCCAUCUCCCUGCAUCUCCCUGACCCCCCAAACUACAGUUCUACUCUCUGUUUCUGUGUAUUUGAUUUUUAGUUUAAGAUUGCACAUAUAUGCAAGAUUACGUAGUAUUUUUCCUUCUGUGUCUGGCUUAUUUCACUUAGCAGAAUGUCCUCUAGAUUCAGCCAUGCUGUUGUAAAUGGAGGAUCAUCUUCUUUUUUAAGGCUGAAUAAUACUCCAUUGCAUAUAUAUACCAUAGUUUAUUUAUCCAAUCAUCUAUUGAUGGACAUGUAGGUUGUUUCCAUAUCCUGGCUAUUGUGAAUAAUGCUGCAUGGAGUGCAGAUAUCUCUUCAACAUACUGAUUUCAUUUCCUUUGGAGAAAUACCCAGUAAUGGGAUUGCUAGAUCAUAGGAUAUUUCUAUUUUUAAUUUUUGAUGAACCUCCAUAUUGUUUUCUAUAAUGGCUGUACUAGUUUACAUUCCCACCAACGGGGUGCAAGGGUUCUCUUAUACUUCACAUCCUCACCAACACUUCUUAUCUCUUGUAUUUUUGAUAGUAGCCAUUCUAACAGGUGUGAGCUGAUAUCUCACUGUGGUUUUGAUUUGCAUUUCUCUGAUGUUUAGUGAUGUUAAUAAGCAUUCUUUCAUAUAUGUGUGGGCCACUUUUAUAUCUCCUUGGGAGAUAUGUCUAUUCAAGCCCUCUGCCCAUUUUUCAAGUUGGGUUAUUUGUAUUUUUGCUAUUGAGCUGAAUGAGUUCUGAAAUACUAUUCUUAAUACCUUAAUUAAACCAUGGAUGAACACACAGGGGAAUCUCAGUAAGACUAAAAGAACUUCUUUAAGCUUAUAUAAACCUAAGAUUCUGCAGGUCAAUUAGGGAGUAACUGGCAAAGCAACAGAUGCCUCAUCAAAUGAAUUAAGUUGCCGGCCGCCGGACCACAAAUGACUGUUAAAGCAUCAGGCUGUCGUGACAAUGGGAGCGGGGAAGAGUUAAGUUGUUAUUGGUUUGCUCGUCAUUUCAGAGAAUCACACAUAGUCAAUGAAUUACACACAACACACACACACACACACACACACACACACACACCACUGUACUGUAAAAAUUCAGUGUCCAGGUAUUUGUAAGGAGACUGACUCAACAAUUUCCAUUGACUGCAUCCAUUAAUAAAACUCAGAAGAUGGCAUUAUUGUUCACCUCACCAGUCCAUUUUGUCAGAGAAGACACAGGCUAAGAUACAUCAAGAAGCCUUUUUAAGAAACACCAGGUCCCCUGAUGCUUAGGUUUAGUAGUGGGCACUCAAAUAUUAAAAGCAACCCACUAGAUAUGGAACCUGGAGUAUUAAUACAAUAUUUCAUACAUUUAAAAGUACUUUUGUUAGAGAAGACACAAAGGAUCACCAAUUAUUCAGAAUCGGUAACGAAACUCAUCCAUACCAAAUCCAAGAAGAGCUUUUUGUGAGUCAGAAGAAAGCAAAUUAUGAAUGUUUUAAGCCAUUUUCCUAAUGAGUAUGAUAGCUGGCAUUCUUGGUAGUUCUCUUGAUUUUGAGAGUACAUUAUGCUGAUGGCAUCAAAGACUAGCCACUAAUGAGUAUGUACAAACAAUAUAAAAAUUAAACUACUGGAUUUACAAUGUAAAAUGAUUUGUCAUAGAAAUCCUGUAUGGAUUUUCUAUUAUAAAAUCUUAAGACUUAAUUUCUUCAUAUCCCUAUGGGUUUUUUCCAGGCGCUCCGGCUUCCUCCCACAUCCCAAAGAUGUGCAUGUUAGGUAAACAGCCAUGUCUACAUUGUCCCAGUCUGAGCAAGUGUGAGUGUAUGUGUGAGAGUACUCCUGCAAUGGAAUGACAUCCUGUCUAGGGCUGGCGCCUGCCUUGCAUCCUGAGCUGCUGGGACAGACUCCGGCCACCCCAGACACUGAACUGGAAUAAGCGAGUUGGAAAAUGAAUGAAGGAAUGAAUACAAAUAAUUGUAAAAUAAAAAUGUGUACCACAAUGUACCACAAUAAACAAUGUGGGAUGAAAGCACUUGGCGAGCCCACCAAAUUUGUUAUUGGUUUUGAACUUCGUGGUGGGAGUAAGUGCUCCUUACGAGUUUCACUUUGCAAACAUUUAUUCCUUGAUUUAACCCACCACCACUACAACCACCAUCACUCGCUGUUUUACCAAAAACUGGGUACCGUUAGGGAAAUUCACAUUGUCGUGCAACCAUCACCACCAUCUAUCUCCAGGAAAUCUUCAUCGGCCUCAUCUCUCGGUCCACGUCCAACAAGCAGAAGGGACACCUCACUUUCAGGUCACCAACUAUCCUUCUCUGUCUCUGCUAGUGUGAGCAGGAGUUACAAAAGCAACAGGAAGAAAAAAGCUGCUGAGUUGGGAUAAUUCAAAAACAUGCCACUGGGAAAAUCAAAGGUUGAUAUGACAACAAAAGCAAAGGAAGAAUGUAAAAAUUUCACUUUGUAAAGAUGGCCAAAUAAUAAUAGGACAAAGACCAUGGUUGUAUACAAGACAGUGACUGGAAAUCUCAACUCCAAACAGCAGAAAAUGGAAAACAAGAGAUUUCCCAAAAAGUGCGGUACCCGAGGGUAUGAGCACACUUGAGUUUGGCAUCUACACAGGAAACGAGGUCAUUUCUUUUUCUCCUGAGUUAUUAUCAUCAAGGUCUCGACUCUGUAACAAAAUUUCACACUGGUUUAUCAAUAAAGUCUUAGGUGAAUUUUCAAAAGCUUCUGAAUAUAGUAAUAUAAAAUGACAAACUAUGGAAACUAUUGGAAAUCAUAAAGACCACGUGUAAGACUAGUUUCAAGAGGCUUAUGACAGAAUAAAUUCCACACUCUGGGGGCUUGGCACAACUUCUAUCCACAAAAGAAGACCACUCAUUUGUUCAAAGGCACCACCCCAAGACACACCAGCAAAUUCCUAUCAGUGGAUUCUCCUUUUCCUCACUGUAGUGUAGACACACCAUAUAUUCAGCAGUGCAGCCACAAAACCAUUCACUAAGUCUACAUAAAGUUCUAUGCAUUGUAAAUGCAUUUUAACAAAUAAUAUUCCUCUGUCUUAUGACAUCACAAAAGAUUCAACAAAACUCAGUCAAAUGAGAACAGGACCAGACAGCUCUUGUUCUCUAAAACAGGCUUCCACAGCUGCAUUUUCAGCUUUGCAUGAAGGAUUACCGCCUUCUUGCAUAAACUCCCAAAUUGGUGCAUGGAAAUAGAAAAUCAUACACACGAGUUGAGCAGCUCCGGCUCCAUUAACCAAUUUGCAUGCAAAAUCGACAUCAGCACUCUCUGGUCUAUUUUUUGCCUAUGUAAGAGAUGGCAUUUAGGAUGCCUUGGGAUUCUGCUUUUCAGAGGCAUUUUGGUUCCCACUAAAGAAAACGGGGUCCCUAAUGGUGUUUGGGGGCACAUGCACAUGUCCCUCCCAGCUGCCUUCUCAGGCAUUCCAGUGAAAAAGAGAAAAGUUUGAGAAUGAGAUCAAGUAAACAAUUAGGUGAGAGCCAAUGGUCAGGGGGAUGUUCUUCAGACUAAUACAACGAAGCAAUCAGGUGAAAAUCAUUUCUAAUUACACCCAGAAGAAAAAUACGAUCUAUCCACCGUUGGCACAAGAAGGGAAAGAUGGAUUUUUAAUCAGGCAAAGGAAUGUACUUUCUGGACUUGCCAGUGAUCACUUACUGAGAUGGGCCAUGGAGAAGUCUGGCCUUUGAGGUUACGCAUGAGGAUCUGAUAGGCAUUUGUGUGCUUAUAAGGAAUCUUUAGAUUUUCUCUAAUGUAUUAUUUCUUCCCUCUCUUCCUCUCUCCUUCUUUUCUCUCUUUUUUCUUUUCUUCCUCCCUUCCAUCCAGGGAGCCACCAGCCACAUGUGGCUAUCGAGCAUCUGAAAUGUGGCCAGUGUGAUUGAGAUGUGCCCAAAGUAUAAAUAAAUACACACAGGAUUUCAAAGACUUGGUAAAAAAAAAAAAAGUCUCCCAAUAAUAAUUUUUUAUUGAUUCCAUAUUGAAAUGAUAAAUUGUCUAAGAUAUUGGAUUAAAUAAAAUAUAUCAUGAAAAUUAACUUGCCUGUUUUUAUUUUUUAAUGUGGUUACUAGAAAAUUUUUCAAUGGCAUUCACAAGUCAUAUUGUAUUUCUAUUGGACUGCUCUGUCCUAGAACCUUUUGUUUUAAACAGAUGCAUUUUCUUACAGUCCAAAAAAAAACAUGAUCCCUUGUUGACUUUUAUGGAGGUGCCAAUUUAAUUCCUUUUUCAACAUUCUUUAGCUACAGCUAUGAGUUGAGGUCACUUCUUUUUCCCAAAAUAAAUCCAUAACACCAAGGAAUGGGGACAAGCUGUCACAACCCUUACAAUGUGGGAUCAAAAGAGUAACCUUCCUUGAAGCACAUUAAAUUUUUUUUCUUAACUAACUGUCGCUAUUCCAAAUUGGAGGAAAAAAAGUACAACUUUUUACUGCCUUCAUGUUUGAUGGUUUGCUCCCUGUGUCCCUUAAAUGCCUGCUCUUCAAGAAUCUCUAGUAACACAAUCACACUGCUUCUAAAAUGUUUACCUCUCAGGAGCCACUGCGUUCCCGACCUUCUUCUGCCCCAUUGGCAGGCCCCAAACAUCCUCCUGAGUCACAAGUCUCACCCCAUGCGGGGAUUACAGGCUGCGACUCACUGCUCUAGCAAAACUAGAAAUAACUGCUGGAGGCAAGCAGCCAGCCGGCAUCCCACAGAGAUUAUUCAUAGCAGAAAUAUCAAUAGACAGUAGGCCCUCCAGUUGGUUGUGUUGAGUCCCUGGAAAUGCUUUGUACUGAAUUUUCCAGAUGAUUUAUGUUAUGCUCCAGAAAGGCAACAUCUCCCUCACACACUUAAUAAAUGCAUCCGUGUGGUAUUAAUGUUUCAACUUAACAUAGUUUUCCCCUUCCUGUACUUUCUGGUCUGGUUCCUUGGGGAGUGGAGUGGGAAGGCUUCAUGAUAUCUGAAAUCCCCACAAAUUCAUACGAAAUGAGUAGGAUUAUUACUUUGUUUUAACCAGAGUGCAUUUUAUCUUAGUUCUAAAUUAUGCAGAUCCUAUUAGGCAAAUAAAGAACAGAAAUCUGGAAUUGAAUUAUAGGAGAGAAAGCUGAUUAUUCAUCAAAUCUGGCUCAGGCAGAUGGGUGGUGUAUUGGCUCCAGUUCCUAAUCUGGACCAGAUUACCUGGGUUCAAAUUUCAGUGCCAUCCCUUACUAGCCAUAUGACUUUGGGUGAAUUACGAAUGCUUAUGGGCCUCAAUUUUUGUCUACAGAGGAUAAAAAUAACACCUUUCUCAUCAGGCUGCUAUGAAGAUUGAGAUAAUGCACAUAAAGUCCUAGAACUGCACCUGGAACUGGUAACUCCUCCAUACACGGGAGCUGCUAAAAUCAUUGUUGUUAUCACCAUUAUGCAUAACCCUAAUCACUUCACACAUUGUUACUAACGUGACAGACUGUCAUGUCCACGAGUUGAUCCUUAAGUCUCGGAACCACUCCAGCUCUGCAUCAAUAUUCUUCAGCUUUCACAACUGACUUUGAUUUCUCAGUCAUUUCUGAAUGUGAGCCAAAAAUGGUCUAGAACAUCAAGACUCAGAAAAAUCAACGAGACAAAAGCCAUGCUGACAGACUGCUGCCUCUGAUUUGCACUGAACUCCACUACAGGCUGCUGAAGUACUUGUGGAAAGGGAUGUGAGGAGGAAGGGGCAGGGCGUGUCUGCAAUGGAACUGCAGAAGCCUAGAGAGCUGGUUCUAGAAAAUGGCCCCAUCUCUAGAAGUGACCAGGAAGCAGCAGGAGGAGGGCUGCAGGAGGCCCCAGGGAGGCGCAGCAGGGGAAAGAGGUGGAAUUGCGGCAGGAAUACAUUAAGGACAUAGCACACAAAGCAAAGGCAGAAGACAUGUCACCCCCAUCCUGACCACUCUCCAUGCCUGUCUUAAAUCCAUCCCAAUUUGUAAAAUUAAAUGUGCAAACAGAAAAUAUUUCUCUGAAAGAGUCAUAAAAUGUCAGCUUCUCCACUUUCCUUCCUAACCCACAAUUUUUAAUUUCCUCUACUAACUGCCAGAACAAGGGCUCAUAUCUUAAAUUCUCCUCCCACCUCAGGCCUGCCUUGCUUGCAGCUCUGUCUGGGAGCAUUUCAGGCAAAACAUUUAAAAUGAAAAAAUAAGCCCCAAAUGUCUAUCCUUAGCUAUGGCAUAGAAAGGGGAGGCUGAAGAGAUAGUGUCUGGCCACAUCCAGGUGCACAGAGGUGGUGGCCUCAGAGAAGGAAGGCAGGUAGGAUAAGAGCCUGAGGCCCAUCCAAGGGCUCUCUCCCACUGCACCAUGAUGCUGCAUGACCUGAAGUCCACCAGCAUCCUGUUCAGGUUAACAUGUCUCCCAUGUCUAUGCUCCCUCAGGUGGCUUCCACAGGCAAAUUAGCUUCAUCAAACAACACUAGGUCUUGGCCUGUCUCUACCUCCUGUCUCUAACUGCUCCUGAGGCAGGACAGGCACCCCAAACCAGGAUUAAAACAAUAAGUUUAACAAAUGCUAUAAAACUAAUCUAGUGUCUGUUCCACAACCUUCAGAGAAGGUGUUAUUUUGCCUUCUCUUACCUUUUCAUCAGACCCUGUUCUCAAGUCUCUUUCUUUCUUUUUUUUUUCCAUCAUAAGAAAACAAAGCCAAAGAGAUGGCUGGGAGAUGAGGGAGAGGGAUGGCAAAGACAGCUCCUAGGUCUCUGGUUUGCAUGGACCUGAACAGAUAGUGGUGACUUUCACCACUUGGUUUUGGUCCUGUUGACUACAGAGGGCCUCUGUGAUAUCCCAGAGGAAACAUUAGUCAGGCCAUUAAUAUAGGAUCUUCAGCUCAAACGGAGAACUCUGGACUGGGGAUAGAAAACGGAGGCUCACGUACCUGUGCAUAAAUGCUCACUAAGGUCAGGGGCUUGGAUAAACUCUCAUUAUGAGAAAACAUGCAGACAGAAGAUCAGGUCUCCAGCCAAGAAUUACCAAACUCUCAAUAGUUAGUGGCUGAGCGCAGAUGGGCAGAUCUGCAAAGGAGGCAGAGGAGCAGCCCGAGAGACAAGAAGCAAAGCAGAAGAGUGCUGUCCUAGAAGUCAAGGGAAGACGGAACAGCAGAACGUCUCAUCAGUGACCUCCUCUUACCCACCACGUCAGAUCCCCCAAAGCCUUCAUUCCUUCCAGGACACAUGGUAGAUGCCCCUGCAUGCUGGACACGAAGUCUAAUAGGGCACUCUCCAGUACACCCAUGACUUUCUGCUUCAUUAGCUGGCUUGUAGGCUAACCAACAGCUGGCUAGGUGUAGUCUCAAACCUGUUUAUGCCAGUUGCACUGGUUAUAAUGAAUAAGCCUAAUCAAAUAUUAUAUGAAUACAAACUAAAAUAGAGUGGUCCCCUCUUCUCCACAGGGGAUAUGCCUGAAACCACAGAUAGUAAAGAACCCAAUUGCUGCCAAUCAGAGCACAUUUCUCUUCGUGUCUUCCACCUAAAAAUUUAAUGCCUUUUUCAUCUUCACUAAGCACAUGUCAUGCACUGUGGCCAUAACUUUUGCAGCCUGAGGUGUGACAGCAAAACUACUAGCGUGAUUUUUUUUUCCUUCCUCACAAUUUCAUAGAUGGAAGAUUCAUUCUUACCUUAGAUCUUAGCAACUUCAGCAUAUGAGUUUUCUUCUUUCUCACUUAAAGGAAGCUCUUUACAGCUUCAUUUUGGCAUAUCCGAAUUGCCAGCAUCACUAGCUUUGUGCUUUGGGGCCACUGUUGAGUAAAAUAAGGGUGACUUGAACACAAGCAGUUCUAUCCCAAGACAGUGGAACUGAUCACUGAGUGGCCACUAAGUGAGUAAUGGGUGGGUAUAUUAUGGACAGCAUGGAUGCACAGGACAAAUAGAUGAUCCACGUCCUGGGCGGAAUAGAGCAGGAUGGCACGAGAUUUCACCAUGCUACUCAGAAUAGUGAGUAAUUGAAAACUUAUGCAUUAUUUCUAGAAUUUUUCAUUUCAUAUUUUGGAAACACGGUUGACUAUAGGUAACCAAAACCACAGAAAAUGAAACCAAGGAUAAGGGGGAACUACUGUACAAACAGUGAAUGAGAGUUAUUCAUAAGAAGCCAAAGAUUCUAAAGAAAACUAAAAAAAAAAUAAUAGCUGUCAAGGUAGAUGAAGGUAAGGAUAUAAUAGAAGGCGAAGGGAAAAGUAAUUUUAAAAUGUGCGGGGUUACAUUCAGAUACCUUUGUAAACAUCUAAAGUCUCCCUCCAUCUUCACAAUGUUGAUUGAAAUGCUUAGCUACUGUAUCAUGGGUUUAUGCCAAAAGAUGACGCAGAGCUAGUCAGCAGAAACACUGUCAAAGACCACAGCUCUGCACCUAAUGAUGGGCAGAUGAACGUUUGUUUUCAAUGAAUUCACUGUGAAAACACAAUCAGUUUUGUGUUUUAAGCUAAAAUAAAAUGUUUACAAUAUAUACCUUUUAAAAAAUAAUUCCCUGUUCCAACCAACCUUUUUGAUUUACUGACCAAUUAUGGUCUCAACUGUGACAGUGAAGGAGUGGUCAGUGUUGCCAGGCCCUUCAGUAAGAUGAGGAAUGGAAGACAUCCACUGGAUUUAGAGAUCACUGGGAGUGGAGAAAUGCAACCAAGUCAGGCCGAAGACAGUCAACUGUUAUGUGACAAUAUCACAAGCCGUUCUUCCCUAUCAAGUUCUUUUGCACUUAGUGUUUCAGAAUUUAAAUGCUGCUUUUUAAUCUCCUUUUUUGAGCAAAUGGUUUCAAUGUAUUUUACAGCAGAAAAAGCCCUUAAAAAUGAGAAUGAGGAUGAUGAUGAUGAUGAUAGAAGUAUUAUGGAAAUAAUAUGAACAACAGUAACAAUGAUAGCUACCUUCCAUUGGACAUAUAUUGUCCACCAGACAUUGUUUUAUAUGCUUUACAAGCAUCCUUGCUUAAUUCUCAAUCUCUCAGCUAUGUACUAUUAUUAUCUCCAUUUUAAAGAUGAGAAAACUCUGGACCAGAGAAGUUGAGUAAAUUUCCCAAGCCUGCAGAGCCACUAAGGGUUGAACCUGACAUUCAAACCCACGCAUUCAGAGCCUAUGCUCUUAACCUCUACACUAUGAAUUCUCCCUAAUUAACUAAGCUAAUGUUCUCAUUCUAUAGAUCAUAAAAUGAUGUCCAGAGGGAUUAAACAAUUGGCUAAAGAGACAUAGCAGUACCAGGACUAUAGAAGACACCCUCAGAUCCCAAUCCUAUGCUUUUUCUACUAUACCACAGUAGUGCAGCAAGUGAAUGUAGCAAGAUCAGAACAAAAUGACUCUUAAAAACCAACAAACGACACCUCCUUGCUUCUACACAGUUGUGUGCCUCCAAGAUGUUCCUUGCUUAAGGACUUGUUUAAGUUCCAUCAAUAGUCAGCUUCUUGGGCUCAGGUUUUCUUUGAAAGGUUGAUUACAGCGAAGAAAAACAAAGCCUUUUAAAAAUGUAAUGUUUAUUUCCUCAGUGAAUUUAGUGGUAUAAUUGUAAUUGGAAAAAAAUAAAGCAUGAACGUAUGUAACGUAUUUACUGCUAUGGGAGUCUACAAUGGAAGAACCAGAAAAAUAAGAAUAGUUACACAGUGGUUACAAAUAUCAAGCAUAAACCAGACAUGCUUAAUUUCAGGGUAUGAUACAAGAAAAUAAAUGAAGCAAAUAUUUAAAGCAAAUUCAACUUUCCAAUUUUAAUUUUAAAAGUGUUAUUCAAAGACAUUUAUAAAGAGAGAGUGAUAUAAUUAAGGCAAGCAAAAUGCAAAUAAUGCAAAUAAUGCAAAAUGCAAAUAACAUGUUAUUGACCUUCUCCAUAUCCCAGGACUUCCUUCCCACAGUGCAGAAAUGGAAGGCAGAAGACAAAAGUCAAAGCCAGGGGUGAACAGGACAUGAUGCCAGACCUCUACAAGGAGUAUGAGCUCCACCAGAUCUGAGCUUCCCUAGAUGACAAGGCUGCCACUGUAACCAGGUCUCCUUAGUCACCUUCUGCUCUCCUAAUGAGAGUCAUUUCCAUAGAUUUUAAUAGUUUCUAUCACAAUGAUGAUUUUCUAAAAACCCACUCUUAUAUAUCUUUACAGGGUCAAAAUUUAAUAGGAAUUGCCAAAUUGCCCCACAUUGGUCUUAUCAAUUCACAGUCCAUCUAUGGAGUGAGACCAUGCCGUGCUGACUUCUCAGCAAAGUGGCAGCUGGUGAGCACACCUGCAUCAGGAUCAUCUAGGGGUGGGAAGAGUGUGUUUACAUUAGGAAUGCAGGUCCCAGGCUAUCCCCAGAUCUACUAAAUCAGACCUGCAUUUCAAUAACCAGGGCCAUUGACUUGUUUGCUCACUCAAGUCUGAGGACGAUUGUGUGAGAGGCUGCCUGGAGCCACGUCUGGAGAAAGACUGUGAAGCCAAGGGUGAGCUCACUGGGAAACAGUUCCCAAUCAAUUCAUAAUGCCUGCAUGGUGGCAGGAAUGGGGGAAUUGGGUAGAUGGAUACAUAAGACACAAAUCUCUCCUUUCUCCUCUCCUCCUCAUUCCCUAACUGCUUAGAGAAUUCCUACUCAUCCUUCACAACUCUUUCUAGAAGAGACUUCUUCAACCUAUACACCAAGGCCUCCCUCCUUGUGUCAAGGCACCAUCUAGCACUCACCAUCACAGUUUUCUGGCGUGUCUCCCAGGGAAGGCAGGGACUUUGUCUUGUUCAUUUUCUUCUCCUCACAACUAGCUUUUUGCCUAGUCCAUAACUAGAAUUCAAUAAAUCCUUAGCAAAUGACUACGUGAUUGAAAAAACAAAAACAAAGGAUAGAGCAAAUACAGAACCAGUUACUGGGAAGGACAAGACAGCAAAACCCAGCCUCCUCCUCUCCACCAUGCUGUCUCCCAUGAAGAUCCCAGGUCUUCCAAGGGUAAGGAAAAACAGGCUGAUAAAUGAGGGCUGGCGGCCAGCAACCCUCCCACUGCAGCCAGGCUUUGUCUCCACGCCAUAAACACCUCCUUGCUCACAAGAGUUGGACCCUGUUGGGAUCAGCAAACAGCUGCAGCAACAGCAGCAUAUGACCUGCCCAGUUUGUUUAGGUGGCGUGUGUUUGUGAGGAGCAUUUGCUCUGUGGUGUUUUUCUAUAACGAUUACGUGGAGAAAUGAUGUUAUUUUCAGGGGGUGAGGAAUACCAAAGAGGCUUAUUUGGCAAAAGCCACAAUCUGUUCACUUCUACUUUGUGUGCGUAUGUGAAAAUCCUCACGCUAGUAGCCAGGAUUUUUCAAAUCCACUGGGAAGAGACUCCAAAAACAGGUUGGGGGCAGGAAAACAAAACCCUAGGAUGACAAGCAUGCAAAUUAACACUGAAACCAGGCAAAGGACUAGUCCUGACAGAUGAAAACACUCAAGCCAGCUGUAUGUAAGGAUUAGGAAAAUUCUAAAUAGGGGAGCAUUCUGCCCACAAGUUUUGUUAGGAGAGGACAUUAACACCAGUCAUUUAUGGUCCUCAAAGCCCAGUAUAUUGGUGUUGGGGGUGGAGGUGUCUGCUGUGUUCAAAGGACAGUGGCACUGAAAACUCAGGACUCAGAGACACUCUCUUCUUAACUCCUCAAGCUCUCAGAUAACCAACUAGUAGAGUCAAAAUAAUCUAAUCAUGGACUAUUAAUGCACAUGGCAAAAACUCAACGGAUAUCCUAGUCAACAUAAUUCUACAUCGGCUGUUCUGUCAAGAUGAUAAUGAAACAUCAGACAAUCUGUGAGAACAUGAUGCCAAGAAGAAAUACAAAUUGGGCUCCUCCAUUCCUCAUGGAAAUUAGAAGAUUCUAAACUAAUCAAUUAGUUUCACAUCCCCCGACACCUCCCUCCCACCGCCCCCACCCCCGUCUCUGCAUUAUCAUUCCACUUCAUGAAAUUUCCUGGGAAUCCACUUACUAUUCUGUGAUCAAGGACAGCAAAUGAAAAUCAAGUUCUCUGCAGAACAUGAGCGAAACUUUACAUUGUAAUGUAAAAUGAGCUGAUUAAGGGCACUUAAUCCAAGAACAGCUAAUUCUUAAGACCUCGAAGCAGAGUGGAUGAAAUGUCAGGAAGGAGGAAUGCAGCCGGGUUCUAAUCACACAGAAAAAUGGAUUCCGGCACUCGACAGGCUGCCUUAUUAACAAUUACAGUAACCAGGGCUGUUCUUUUCAAAAGAAUGCCUAGCAAGUUAGAAUAAAGACCCCAUCUUCGGAGAUCUGUGGUAGAAAGUAUACCCCUCUUUUUAGAAAAUAAGGUACUCCAGCCUCUGGGAGCAUCCUAAAAGAUGAGAGGAAACUCAAGGAGAAUGGUUUAUCUUUCUGAAUGGUUUAUCUUUCUAAUUUCAUCUCAUUCAACUUCUUACACAUUGGAAGGUGAUUGUAAACUCAGGUAUGUUAGGAAUAAGUUUAUUAUUAAAAAGUAAUAAACACCCUCCGCUGACCAAACUCUUAGAAAAGGAUUACAGAACCACUUUUCACUUUGAAAAAUUCUUGAGGACCCCCCUAAGAACUUUUGUUUAUGUGGGUUACAUCUAUCUAUAUUCUUCACGUUAGAACAUUUAAAACUAAGACAUUUUAAAAAUAAGAAUAUCCAAGCACAUAUUAAUUAGUGAUGAUACCAUCAUGGGUCGUGUAGCCACAGGAAAACUCCAUUGCACGCUUGUCAAAGAAUAAGAGUGGAAAAGGCGAACAAAGGUCUUAGUAUCAUUUUGAAAAUAGUUGGGACCUUAAGAACUCCCAGGGGUCCCCAGACCACUCUGAGAACCACUGACCUAGAGUCAUGUCUGGUUGACAUAGAAAUGUGUUAGAGUUAUAGAGAGGUCAACUCUUUCAAGAACCACUUCUGUCA
Molecule: long non-coding RNA, 15992 nt
Organism: Homo sapiens (human)
Lineage: Eukaryota; Metazoa; Chordata; Mammalia; Primates; Hominidae
Exons: 2
Source: RefSeq, a predicted model, not a curated record